RNAcentral lists this ribosomal RNA (332 nucleotides) under uncultured bacterium. RNAcentral describes it as "bacterial SSU rRNA". It matches the Rfam family "Bacterial small subunit ribosomal RNA", at positions 568 to 898 of the family's 1533-position model. The record is from RNAcentral.
CGCGUAGGCGGCCGACCAAGUCGGGUGUGAAAGCCCGGGGCUCAACCCCGGAAUUGCACUCGAGACUGGUUGGCUCGAGGACGGGAGAGGAUGGUGGAAUUCCCAGUGUAGAGGUGAAAUUCGUAGAUAUUGGGAAGAACACCGGUGGCGAAGGCGGCCAUCUGGACCGUUUCUGACGCUGAGGCGCGAAAGCGUGGGGAGCAAACAGGAUUAGAUACCCUGGUAGUCCACGCCGUAAACGAUGAGUGCUAGACGUUGGGGGGACCUAGUCUCUCGGUGUCGCAGCUAACGCAUUAAGCACUCCGCCUGGGGAGUACGGCCGCAAGGUUAAA